Molecule: ribosomal RNA, 493 nt
Filed under: Abiotrophia defectiva
Lineage: Bacteria; Bacillati; Bacillota; Bacilli; Lactobacillales; Aerococcaceae
Description: bacterial SSU rRNA
Rfam family: Bacterial small subunit ribosomal RNA
Source: RNAcentral
GACGAACGCUGGCGGCGUGCCUAAUACAUGCAAGUCGAACGAACCGCGACUAAGUGCUUGCACUUGGUCAAGGUGAGUGGCGAACGGGUGAGUAACACGUGGGUAACCUACCUCAUAGUGGGGGAUAAUAGUCGGAAACGACUGCUAAUACCGCAUAGGACAUGGAAUCACAUGAUUCUGUGAGGAAAGGUGGCGCAAGCUAUCGCUAAGAGAUGGACCCGCGGUGCAUUAGCUAGUUGGUAGGGUAACGGCCUACCAAGGCAAUGAUGCAUAGCCGACCUGAGAGGGUGAUCGGCCACAUUGGGACUGAGACACGGCCCAAACUCCUACGGGAGGCAGCAGUAGGGAAUCUUCCGCAGUGGACGCAAGUCUGACGGAGCAACGCCGCGUGAGUGAAGAAGGUCUUCGGAUCGUAAAGCUCUGUUGUUAGAGAAGAACAGCGCAUAGAGUAACUGUUAUGCGUGUGACGGUAUCUAACCAGAAAGCCACGGCU